CUAGCACACAGCUGCUUCUGGAAAAUUCUGCACCCUGCCCUACUAAACCACCAGGCAUGACAUGAAUAACAAGAAUGGCCUAGCCGUCAACAGCGGAUACUUUUUCUUUUGACGUGGGCCUAACAGACUGGUACAAAUGCCCUGGUCUUGCACAUAGUGGAAAAGUCAACAAUGAAGGGGACACCGGGGCACAAUGUGGAAAUGAAAUCCCGGGUUUAGAAAGCUUUGUCUGGACAAGGACGCAGUUGACACAGACCCUGAGGGCUUUGGAAAAGGCUGUGUAACAAAAUGCCAACUGAUGUGUUUUGAUGGGGUUACUUGUUCACCAGCCAGUCACUAAUUGGAGAGUAAGAACCCACUAAAGAGCUUUUGCAAAUUUCCUUUCCGAGCUGCAUGUGUCGCUUAUGCCCUUAUGCGAAGACGGCAGCAGCAAAACAAAGCCAGCACGUACUAGCUGCUAUGUGUUGCUAUGUUUCUAACAUGAUCAGUCAACACUGGCCCCGGGACUAAGUACAGCCUUACCAGCAGUGUCUGAGCGUUGCCCUGCAGAUGAGAUAAUGCUAGCCCUUAUCCGUCCGUGAGGUUGUUAGCCAUGCACAGCCCACCCUGGUGUUGACAUUUGCCCAACCUGUCUAAACACAUAGGGCCAUGGAGACUCCUCUCAGGCUCUCUGUAUCCAUGGCUGAUAAAGAGUUGCUCAUGUGAUCAGCACUCAACGGCAAAGGGCCACUCUCCGUCCCAACUCCGGCUCCAGUCCUCCGCAGACCCACACAGAGAGAGUCUGUUACCAGAGAAACAAAGGCUGGGGUGGCCAGGAGUCUGCAGCCAUGCCCUGUACACUGAACAUGGCCUGAGCUACGCAGAGCCACAGCUCCCCCUACAGGUCACACUACAAAAGACAACAACAAUCAGGAAGUCAUUCCCGGACACUUGGAAAUUAGAUGUACGGUGGCUACAUUGAAGACAGGUGACGAGGAGACACACACACACACAAGUGAAGUGAUUUUACUGUCUGGAUGGAAAGCGGAGCUGUUAUUAAUUUGGCACCUGUUGAGGAUACGUGUGUCUGUGUGUAUGUGUGUGUGCUAGUGUCUUUGUGUGUGUGUGUAUAUACAAUAUAGAGAGUGCAAAACUUUUAGGCAACAUUAGAUGUUUGGACUUUUAUCCAUAAUGCAAUACCAUCAGCCACCACAGUGCCCUGAUCUCAACAUCCUGGAGUCAGUGUUCAUGACUGGAAGAGCAACAAGAGAGAUCUUUGGAUGCUCUGGACAGAAAACUGGGAGA
Xiphias gladius (swordfish) is the source of this 1284-nucleotide long non-coding RNA. RefSeq lists it as uncharacterized. The record is from RefSeq and is a predicted model, not a curated record. The transcript is spliced from 4 exons. Lineage: Eukaryota; Metazoa; Chordata; Actinopteri; Istiophoriformes; Xiphiidae.